GGAUGCGAUCAUACCAGCACUAAAGCACCGGAUCCCAUCAAAACUCCGAAGUUAAGCGUGCUUGGGCGAGAGUAGUACUAGGAUGGGUGACCUCUUGGGAAGUCAUCGUGUUGCAUUCC
This 119-nucleotide ribosomal RNA is filed under the name Triticum aestivum (bread wheat). Lineage: Eukaryota; Viridiplantae; Streptophyta; Magnoliopsida; Poales; Poaceae. The record is from RNAcentral.